GGGAGGGACGCUGUAUUUUUAAAAUUAUGUUAAAGGUGAGAACUCUGGCUCCCACUUCUAGUGCUGCCUUGGACUCAUGGCCCAGGGAGUCAGGAUAGCUCAAGGGGUGCAUUCCUCGCAGGCAAGCUUCCAAACAAGGUACUGGUAGGAUGGAUGAGGUCGUGGUCUAGGAGAAGGAAGGCCUCUGCCAUUUUACGGUAGUUCUUCUCCAUGAGAAAUAAAGAGUUCCAGCAGAGGGCAGUAAUGUCUCUCUUAAAUUGUAUCUCAUUACCAGAGUGUGUUUGGGAGCUCUGGAUCAGCCUACAGCAAUGUCUUUCAAAACUUUUUUUUUUUUUAAACCAUGACACACAAUAAGAAAUGCAUUUUACAUUGUAUCUCAGUAUGCAUAUGCACAAACAUACAUAUAAUAUUUGAAAAAACAUCAUUUAAUGCUUACAAUAUGAAAUGCACUUUAAUGUAGUCUAUUCCAUUCAUUUUAAAGAACAUUCUAUGCUAAUUAAGAAUAUUCAGAUUAUGACCUCCUAAAUUGAUUUCUAGGCUUACUAACCUACCGUUUGAAAAGUACUGACCUUGAGGGCUCUGGCUUUUGUUCUUUCAUAUACAUCAUUUGCUGGGACAACUUUAUUGAGACCAGAGAAUGUGUACAUUUCAAAAUAAAAACAACAGUUGACAUCAUGAAUGAAUAUUAUGUGCUAUACCCUAUGUAAAACUUUUUGAGAACUCUCUCAUGUAAUUCAACAGCAUUUUGAGGAAGAUACUAUUGUUGUUAUCUCAGUUGAGGUUUAGAGAAUGAUAUGUCCGAAGUUAGUACAUGGUUGAGGUGAGAUUUGUCUCCCAGAUGCUGGAACUAGAAUGAAGAAACUAUUAUGUUAUAUUGUGCAUCUAAGUCAGGGGACACAUCUUUGGGACAGAUACCACCACUAAUAUGAUCAUGAAGAGAAGCAAGGUUAAAACUUGUUUCAGCAGCCUGGAAUGCUAGGCUGAAAUCAAUAUGGUGAUUCUGGUGGGUCUAGAAUAGGGUUGGAGAGAACUGAUUUUCUAGGGGAUCUUGAGAAAAUACGGAGGUUUUCAUGGAUUACAGUUAAGUAGCUCAGUUGGUAAAGAAUCCACCUGCAAUGUGGGAGACCUAGGUUCAAUCCCUGGGUUGGGAAGAUCCCCUGGAGAAGGGAAAGGCUAUCCAGUCCAGUAUUCUGGCCUAGAGAAUUCCAUGAACUGUAUGGGGUUCUAAAGAGUCAGACACGAUUGAGCCACUUUCACUUUCACCCACUUUCAAUAGUCCAGAAGAAAUGAUAGACCAUCUUUCCCAGAUAGAAAAUGAGAGGAGAAAUAGAAAGCUUAUAGUCACGCAAUGGCGAUACAUCAGAACAAAUCAUAAAUUCGAUUUUAAAGAUUCCAGGUGAGGAAUGGGAUGAAUUUGCAGGAGACCCCAGGGUCAAUAGUAGAAGACUGUGGACACCUGAGUAAGUGAGACAGCCAGGUAGAUGGAAUUUUGUGGUACUUGAAAAGGCAGCGCAGAAGGGAGGUCACUGACAUGAGAGAGUUUACCUGCUUUUGAUAUCCUGGAAAGCUGGUGGGGAUACCCUUAUCUUCCAAAUGUGUCUUAUGAAACAAAUAGCCAGAGAGAAGCCUCUGUUCAUGUUGAGAUGCUUUAAUUCAUAUGCAUGAAGACUGUUAGGAACAGGGUUGUUGUUGUUGUUUUUUAACCAACUCACAAUAUUUAGGAACACAUUUAUUCUCUUAAACUUCUAUAUUAUUUUUAUUUGGGAUUGCAAAUUUUUGCCUAUGCAAAUUUUUACCUACUGCAAAUUCUUUAUGGAAAGAAUUUUAAGUAGGUGAUCUCUUCUGUUUUUGAUUCUGACAUUUUAGAUCUAGAAUAUGAUUUUUAAACAUGAUUUAUAUGACUCAAUUACUUUACCUCUUGCAUGGGCCAAAUAUUAUGUGUGAAAGUAACAUUUUUGUUUUUGAACUUUCUUGUAAAUUGAGAGCUUUGAUGUUUGUUCAUCUGGGAGUAUAUUGGACAUCUGCUUCACAGAGAUGCUCAUAAGAACACCCCUUAUGUCUGCACAUUGCCCCAGACAGCAGUGACACUAGCCACAUCUGCUUUCUUCCCCAGGGGGACUGCCAAGGGCCAGGCUGAAAGAACAGCUGCAUGGUAAUCCUGACAACCAAUUACUUAUUCAUGAAACAAACAAAACAGAUUUUUGUCUAUCCUAGAACAUGUAACUUUGGGACUGUACUGAGCAGAGAAAAGGAUGGCCAAACAGAGAGAUGACAUGGAGGAUCUGCAUUUUUGGUAGUUUUAAAGUUCUAAGGGAUUAUUCAGAUUUAUAACCUGACCCUCUUCCAAGUCCCAUGGCAUUCCUUUCUUUUCUUUCCAGUUAUACAAAGUCUGUGUCUUCCUUUGUUCUUGUAUCUUUAUAUUAUGCUCUCCCUCUUUCAUAUGCUUGUAGAUCCUUGCACUUUUCCAUUAGGACACUUAUCAUAGUUUGUAGUUAUACUGUCUGUGUGACUUAAAAAAAAUUCCUGUGCACCAUCUAGAUUGGAAGCUCCAUGAGAGCAGGGACUUUGUUUCAGUCACUCAAUUCUAUAUUCCCAAAGUCAUUACCAGUGUCUGACAUAUGGUAGAACCUCAAUAAAGGUUGAGUGAAUGGGUUAAUAAAAAAAUG
This is a long non-coding RNA of Bos taurus (domestic cattle), 2666 nucleotides long. The record is from Ensembl. Lineage: Eukaryota; Metazoa; Chordata; Mammalia; Artiodactyla; Bovidae.